Long non-coding RNA from Acinonyx jubatus (cheetah), 5091 nucleotides. RefSeq lists it as uncharacterized. The transcript has 4 exons. Lineage: Eukaryota; Metazoa; Chordata; Mammalia; Carnivora; Felidae. The record is from RefSeq and is a predicted model, not a curated record.
UGACGCCCAGCCCCCGAGAAGCGAGGUGACAUCUUACCCAGUAACUCAGGCACCUUCCUCCAUUCUGGGGGGCUAGGCACGAAAGGGGAAAGAGCAGCAUCUUCCCGGAGCACCCACCCCCUGCCCUUGUCUCUUUCUGUGGAUGGAUGAAUAACAUUUGGGGAGGGGGCUCGGGGCGGAAAUCCUGGGUCAGGGAAAAGACUGGGGGCGGCUUGGAUUCCUGGGCUCUGAGGGGAGGGGGCUGGACAGAGAUGGGAUGAGAGGGGUGGGGCAGGGUAAUGCAUCUGCUAAAGGCCUAGGCUCUUAGAGGGGAAACCCGGGUUUUAAUCUUAGCUCCUUCUUUGUGAUCUGGGGCACAGAUGGGCACUUCUCUGAGCCCCCUUCUCCGUGUGCAGAAUGAAUAUCCAGCCCUUCUCCCUGACUCGAACUUCGUAGAUCCCAGGAGCGCCUACACCCGCUCUACUCGCUCCUGGAAGAAUUUGUGUUGCCGGUUAGGACCGCAGACUCUGGAACUAAAAGGCCUGGGCUUCAACCCGCGCUCAGCUGCCAGCUGUCUGACCUUGGCCCAAUGAUCUAGCCUCUCUGAACAUCCUACUUCUUGGUCCACAAAACCAGGGGAAAUAGUUGCACCCACGCCGUCAUUUGUUGAUGCAACAAGCCACGGCAUGCAUGAAAUACGGGGAGUUCCUGGUACACAGCAGGGCUCGUCGCGGUGACCCACAGCGAGCUCGGUCACCUUCCCAGCAGCCUGUUCUUGAAUCCUGUUUCACAGAGAACCCCAAGCUGAGUGGACGUGGAUGAAGCCACACGUCUCUCGAGGUGCUGGAAUCCUGGCGUGGCUUCUGAAAGCGCUGACCUUCCGACCAUCCUCUGCCCCUUUUGGAAGCCGAAGGGCCCGCGGAGUCCCAGCUUGUGCCCCAAUCCCUGCACGGACACAUUGUCCCUGUGGCUUCGGCUGGCAGGCACAGUCUUCUGUGGCCACUCCGGCCAGGCCAAGCCGGGGUGAGUGACCACAAGAGCGAGCCCUCCCGGCGGGGGAAGGCCUGUGAUGUGCCGGCAGGAGUCACACAAGUCACGGGGAGGAUGUGUGAUCUCAGGCCAGGCGGGGGCUCCCUCGCCGUCGGCUGGCUUCCAGCCUCCGCCCCGCGGCGCCCCCUGCUGGCCACUGUAAGGUCCGUCUGGGCGGACCGGGCAAGAGGGGCUACACGGAGGAAAACAGAGGCCUCCUAUUCCACUUUUUUUCAUGUAUAUUUUUUGUUGGCUUUUUUUUUUUUUCUGUAAAAUGUCCCGGUUCUUCCAUAACUUAUAAACAUGAUUUAUACUGAGGGAUGGGUGGGGAAGUGGGCGGGGGCAGACUGACAGGGGAUGGGGAAGCUCCUCUUCUCGCUGCCCCCUCAGGGCCGGGCCCAGGGCCCUUCGGGGGACUGGGACGCCCCAACACCUCCCUGAGGUUGUCUGGCGACCUCUGCCCCUGGUGCUCAGAAUCUGGCGUGCCCCUCGAUUCUGGAAUCCCUCCCGGGACUCCAGGCCCGUGGGCACCCUGCCUCUGGUGCUCCGAAUCCUGAAGCGCCCGUGGUUCUAGGAUCCCCUCUCAGCUGCUGGGGUGAUGGGUCCCCUCCUUUCCGCUGCCCCCCUGGCCCCCGAGGAGGGAGGGAAGGGAGGGGGAGGAGGGCUCAGGUCUCCCCUCCGUGGCAGGGGGAGGGGGAGGUGGGAUCUGAAGGAGGAAGGGUGGAAGGCGGGGGGGCCAGCAGGGGCUCAGCCGAUGGUGAGGCCAAAGCCGCACUGGAACUUGUUCUUUCGGUGAUUCAGGAAGGCCCCGAGGGCCAACGUCAGGGGUAGGGGCGGGAGCUUCUUCUCCAGUGUGGCGCCCACAAUCCAGUUGCUGUCCAUGGAGCCUGCAGGUAGACGGCUGGGUUGAGAGCCAACUUCCCAUCCUGUCCCCAAAGAGUCGCGCUCCAGGCCACCUCAGAUACCACCAGCCGGACUGUCGGCUUCUAGAUCUCUGCCCACACUGUUCCCACCACCCGGAGACCUCUUCUCGAACCCCAAGUUCUCCAAGCCCAGGAACAAUUGGCUUAGUUGUCCUCUCCCACGCUCCCCCCCCCACUCCAGGCAGCCCUCUGCCCCACCCCCAACCGUGAGCCUUGGGAGGACGGUGCCCGGCCACCGCUCUGUCCCCAGCACCCUGGCACAAAGGCUGGCCUCAGAGCAGCUGCUCAAAUCUGCUGAACGAGAGACUGAGCCCUACGCGUGUGCAAGCGUGUGAGGCUAUCCCUACACCGUGCGAAGGGCCAGUUGCUCAUCUCACAGGAGCGGAGGGCAGCGCAGUGGGAACGCAAGCCCGGCCUCGGAGAGCAGGCUGACUGCAGAGAGAGGGGUCAAGGGGCAGGCACAGGAGGUAGGCUUCAGAGGCAAAUAAACCCCUGGGCCUCGGAAAAGCCCUGCCCGGGGCUGAAGGAAGCGGCUUUGCGGGGUGGUCUUCACAUACCGCCAACCUGAGAACCACUGAGGUCCGAGGGGAAAGACUUAAGACUUAGCGUCAGGACCAGUCAGCCCGGGAGGAGGCUCUGGACGGGGCUGUGACCGUGCACCUGAGGGAACCUGUCCCCACUCACGUCAGAGGAGCGGGGUGGCCCCGAUGCACUCCGAGUCGCCUCCCGCUUGUGAGAAAACAAAGAAGAGGACCAGGAGUGCCAAGCUCAGGUCUCCACCAGCUUAACAAGAGUCUCCAGGGAAUUUGGAGGCACCCUCCCCCGCCCCCUCCCCAAAGUGCCAGCACGCUGCCCUCCACCGACUCUUUUGGCCUACACACCCGCCCCGGGCCCAGUCACCUGUCACCUGUUUUCCAAGUAUGGAAACUGAGGCCUGUACCUUUGAAGAGGAGGUUGGCCUUGGGCAGGUCCAGCUGGUACCCGAAGGAGACACUGGUGUCCUGCAUCCUUGUGCUGGCCUCGAACUCCACGCCCACCUGUAGCUGGAGGGGCCAGGGCAACACGCAGACACUCAGCCUCCCGGGCCGGACUCCCGGGCACACGGGCCCCUGGCAGCCCGCGCCUGCAAAGUGCGCCCUCGCAGUCGGUCCCUGGACCAGCUCACCUGGUCGCUGGCUUUGUGGUAGUACGUCGCGUGCAUGCCCGCCUGGCCCAACGUCACUGUCGCCAACCAGUUGUUCACUGUAAGACAGCAGGGUGGAGGGUGGGGCGGACCACCAAGGGGGCUUGGAAGGCAGGCCCGUCUUCUCUCUCCUCCCUCAGACCCGGGCCCCUGGCCCCCGGCCCUGACCCCUGCCGUCAGGCCCCAGGCUCACGUGUGUAUUUCCCAGCUAGAGACAUGACCGUGCCUUCCUCCCCGGGCCGCCGGUGGUAGACCAGCUCUCCACCCAGGGCCAGACACGGCGUGAUGCUCUGCAGGUAGUGGGCCACGAGGAUACCUGCGGGUGAGAUGGGGGAGGGGUCACCUGGGCUUGGUGGUCAGCUUCCGCCCAGCCAAGGUGCCAGGCCAGACUCCCACUCCAGGGAGCUUUCCAGGUUCGCCCCUGCUGGAGGCGCAGGGCCUGCCCUCAGGCCUCCCGCGCCCCGUGGGACCUCAUCAGGUCUGUACCGCCUGACGAGGCUGGCGUUCACCUGCCAGUCUAUUUACAGAGGAGUCCACGGAGGCUAAGGAAGUAAGUCACUGAUCCGUGGUCACAAGGGACAGCCCUGAGACCCCUAUUGAGCGCUGGCCAGCAGGCGACCGCCCCCUGGUGGGCGGAAAUUCUCGGAGCCAGAGGACUGGCGCCUGGGGGAGUAGACACUGCAAACCAGGACCACGCACACGCUGUCCUUCCUGCCCGUACUGCCCCUGAUGAGUCUGGCCAACUACAUACUCGCACCUAAGUGUUUCCUGGAGCAGGUUACUUCUCUCCAGCACACUCCCUGAUCAGAGUCACGGUCACCAGAGGACCAUGGCAGUCGCCCUGUCCUAGCCUCCCUGCUUUCACCUUGGCCCAUGCCUGCAGUUGGCAGGUAUACGCUGAGAACUAUGGUCAGAACACGGUCUCCACUGCUCGUCUCGCUCCAACAGAUCCUGCCUAGUUUCCAUACUUCGCUCCAUUCUCUCUGCUCCCCAAGCACAUUCCCUGGGCCGCUUCAUCCCGGGGCUGCCCGGCUUGCAGAUCUUCACCAGCUUCACCCCUUCCCCCAUCUCUGUCUCCCAAACUCAGCCUGUGCCUCCCGCUUGCAUCCAGACCCAGUUCCCCUAAGGCACCGGGUGCCCCGAGGCAGGGCCUUCGCCAGAAUGAGUGGUUCUCAACCAGGGGCCAUUCUGCAGUGUCUGGAGUGGCCGGGAAGGGUCUCGGGAGUCCAAAACCCCAUGAGAAGGAAAGAAACUGAGUUAGACCUGUGAGCAAAGAGGUGGCCUUGGCCAACGGGCAGAGCCAGGCCAACCUGGGCAAGAGUCAGGUGUCCAGUUUUGCCUCCCCAACCUGCUGGGCAGGGAGCCAGGGACAGAUGGGGCAGGAGGAAGGCUUGGGCUGACUCCCCCCGCCCCCGCCUUUCCCCUGCUUGCCUGGGACCCACACACACCAGGAGUCCUUGGCCAAGUCCCCCAUGGGGCAGGAAGGGCAGACACCCCAGAGCAGAUGGGCAGGUAAGGGCAGCACCCGGAAGGAACGCAGUUCUCGGCCCCAGCCAGUCUGCUCCCCACGCUCUGUGCUCCGUAGGCCUCAGAAGCAGUGCCCUCCUCACCCUCCUUUGACUAAACACCAUUUUAGAGAAGCUGUUCCGGUCACUUUAGGUGAAACGGAGUGUGUAUGUGUGUAGGGGGGAGUGGUAGUUACAAGCUUUCGUGGCAACCUGAACUUUUUCCGGGUUGAGUUUUUCCCAACAGUAAUGAAGUCACUGUGUGGUUAUUUGUUUUAAAAGCAAAUGUCGGGGGGCCCGGGUGGCUCAGUCGGUUCAGCAUCUGACUUCGGCUCAGGUCAUGACCUUAGUUUGUGAGUUCGAGCCCCGCGUCGGGUUCUGCGCUGACAGCUCAGAGCCUGGAGCCUGCCUCGGAUUCUGCGUCCCCGCCCCUCCCCUGCUUGCGCUCUCUCAAAAAUAAACAUAAAAAAAA